GCAUAUCAAUAAGCGGAGGAAAAGAAACCAACAGGGAUUGCCCUAGUAACGGCGAGUGAAGCGGCAACAGCUCAAAUUUGAAAUCUGGCGUCUUCGGCGUCCGAGUUGUAAUUUGCAGAGGGCGCUUUGGCAUUGGCAGCGGUCCAAGUUCCUUGGAACAGGACGUCACAGAGGGUGAGAAUCCCGUACGUGGUCGCUAGCCUUUACCGUGUAAAGCCCCUUCGACGAGUCGAGUUGUUUGGGAAUGCAGCUCUAAAUGGGAGGUAAAUUUCUUCUAAAGCUAAAUACUGGCCAGAGACCGAUAGCGCACAAGUAGAGUGAUCGAAAGAUGAAAAGCACUUUGGAAAGAGAGUUAAAAAGCACGUGAAAUUGUUGAAAGGGAAGCGCUUGCAGCCAGACUUGCCUGUAGUUGCUCAUCCGGGUUUCUACCCGGUGCACUCUUCUAUAGGCAGGCCAGCAUCAGUUUGGGCGGUUGGAUAAAGGUCUCUGUCAUGUACCUCUCUUCGGGGAGAACUUAUAGGGGAGACGACAUGCAACCAGCCUGGACUGAGGUCCGCGCAUCUGCUAGGAUGCUGGCGUAAUGGCUGUAAGCGGCCCGUCUUGAAACACGGACCAAGGAGUCUAACAUCUAUGCGAGUGUUUGGGUGUCAAGCCCGAGCGCGUAAUGAAAGUGAACGGAGGUGGGAACCUUUCGGGGUGCACCAUCGACCGAUCCUGAUGUCUUCGGAUGGAUUUGAGUAAGAGCAUAGCUGUUGGGACCCGAAAGAUGGUGAACUAUGCUUGAAUAGGGUGAAGCCAGAGGAAACUCUGGUGGAGGCUCGCAGCGGUUCUGACGUGCAAAUCGAUCGUCAAAUUUGGGCAUAGGGGCGAAAGACUAAUCGAACUAUCUAGUAGCUGGUUCCUGCCGAA
Molecule: ribosomal RNA, 909 nt
Filed under: Didymella pomorum
Lineage: Eukaryota; Fungi; Ascomycota; Dothideomycetes; Pleosporales; Didymellaceae
Description: LSU rRNA
Rfam family: Eukaryotic large subunit ribosomal RNA
Source: RNAcentral